Molecule: ribosomal RNA, 417 nt
Filed under: alpha proteobacterium 1212
Lineage: Bacteria; Pseudomonadati; Pseudomonadota; Alphaproteobacteria
Description: bacterial SSU rRNA
Rfam family: Bacterial small subunit ribosomal RNA
Source: RNAcentral
GAUCCUGGCUCAGAACGAACGCUGGCGGCAGGCCUAACACAUGCAAGUCGAACGGAUCCUUCGGGAUUAGUGGCAGACGGGUGAGUAACGCGUGGGAAGCUACCUUGUGGUAGGGGACAACAGUUGGAAACGACUGCUAAUACCCUAUGAGCCCUAUGGGGGAAAGAUUUAUCGCCAUGAGAUGUGCCCGCGUUAGAUUAGCUAGUUGGUAAGGUAAUGGCUUACCAAGGCGACGAUCUAUAGCUGGUCUGAGAGGAUGAUCAGCCACACUGGGACUGAGACACGGCCCAGACUCCUACGGGAGGCAGCAGUGGGGAAUAUUGGACAAUGGGGGCAACCCUGAUCCAGCCAUGCCGCGUGUGUGAUGACGGCCUUAGGGUUGUAAAGCACUUUCAGCAGUGAAGAUAAUGACAUUAA